GUGUCAGCCGCCGCGGUAAAACGUAGGUCCCGAGCGUUGUUCGGAUUCACUGGGUGUAAAGGGCGCGUAGGUGGUUGUCUGUGUCUCAUGUGAAAACUCAGGGCUCAACUCUGAGAUUGCGUGGGAAACUAGGCAGCUAGAGGACGGUAGAGGGGAGUGGAAUUCCCGGUGUAGCGGUGAAAUGCGUAGAUACCGGGAGGAACACCGGUGGCGAAGACGGCUCUCUGGACUGUCCCUGACACUGAGGAGCGAAAGCCAGGGGAGCAAACCGGAUUAGAUACCCGGGUAGUCCUGGCCGUAAACGAUGGGUACUAGGUGUUGGGGGGUAAAGACCCUUCAGUGCCGAAGCUAACGCGAUAAGCAUCCCACCUGGGGAGUACGGCCGCAAGGUUGAAACUUAAAGAAAUUGGCGG
Molecule: ribosomal RNA, 413 nt
Filed under: uncultured bacterium
Lineage: Bacteria
Description: bacterial SSU rRNA
Rfam family: Bacterial small subunit ribosomal RNA
Source: RNAcentral